This is an RNA transcript of Macadamia integrifolia, 2957 nucleotides long. It is a transcript of the gene named RNA-binding KH domain-containing protein RCF3-like, with no coding region annotated. NCBI's taxonomy places the organism in Eukaryota, Viridiplantae, Streptophyta, Magnoliopsida, Proteales, Proteaceae. The transcript has 9 exons. The record is from RefSeq and is a predicted model, not a curated record.
UUAUGGGUCUCAGAUUAAAGCUCAAGUAUCUCACUCAAUCUCUCUCUAGAUUUUCCAUCCAUCAUUUCCAAGGACAAAAACAGCUGUAACCAAAAGGACCAAAAAUCCCCAAGAACUCUAGAGAGAGAAAGAGAGAGAAGGAGAUAAAACUUUACUCAUAAGAUUUCGAAGCUGCUACUAACGAAGUAAAAAAGCAGAAAUUUCUAGCGAAACUCUGCAAGGAGUUCGAGAAUCAGACGAGAAAUGCUGCUUAUUUUUGUAUAAAAUGCUCUAGAUCUUCCAAGAACGAAAAUCUGAAAACCCUAGACAAGUUUUUUUUUCUAGAAAUGGAGAGAUCUAGAUCGAAAAGGAACCACUAUUACGAUCAGGACUACGAAUCUCAAACCCUACCAAGGACCAAACAAAGGUAUCAUCAUCAUAAUAGUCAUUAUAACAACAGUAACAGUGGUGGUCACCAUCGUCGUGGAGGCGUCGGUGGCCGUUUAUCCAAAGCUCCGGAAGGUUCUUCUUCUACCGCAGCUACUAGUUAUCGUAUCCUAUGCGAUGAUAAUAGAGUUGGUGGCGUGAUUGGAAAAUCUGGUAGUAUAAUCAAGGCAAUUCGUCAAGAAACUGGCGCUUGGAUCAAUGUUCACGCACUCUUGCCUGGUGAUGAUGAGCGAAUCAUUGAGAUCUCCGACAACCGUCGACGGGACCCCGAUGGACGUUUCCUAUCUUUUUCUCCGGCGCAGGAGGCGUUGCUUAUGAUCCAUGAACGGAUUAUGGAGAGUGAUUCUGAAUUUGGGUUUAGAUAUAAUGGGAGUGCUGCUGAUGAUGAUGAGGAUUACGGUCCACGAGGUAGUGGUAAUCGUGUUGCUACCAGGCUUGUUGUGGCAAGGAUGCAUGUUGGGUGUUUGUUGGGGAAGGGUGGGAAGAUCAUCGAGCAAAUGAGGAUAGAGACAAAGACUCAAAUUAGGAUUCUUCCAAGAGAUCAUAAUCUACCCCGGUGUGUUUCAAUGUCGGACGAAAUUGUUCAGGUUGUGGGUGAUGUUAAUGCCGUGAAGAAAGCUAUAGCAAUUAUUUCUUCACGCUUGAAGGAGAGCCAGCUUCGUGACCGCAGUCAUUUCCAUGGACGGGUACAUUCACCAGAGCGGUUUUUCCUUUCUGACGAUGAUUUUGGUCCUCAUAUAAACAAUAUGCCUCAUCAGUCACCCAUAGAUGGGGCCACAUUAGGACCACGAUCUUCUGCAGGUAUGCCCACUUUGAGAAACAAUUCAUAUGGUUCACGUACAUCCAGUUAUGCAUUCGAGUCUGGAGCUGGUCCCAUAGCAGACCAUCAGUCACAGCCAUUCUCUGCUGAAGACCUUGUGUUUCGAAUUCUUUGCCCAAAUGACAAGGUAGAUAGUGUAAUGGGAGAAGCCAGUGGAAUUAUAGAAAUGAUACAGGAUGAUAUUGGUAUCGACAUUAGAGUUGAUGAUACCAUUCCUGGAUCAGAUGAGCAGAUAAUCAUUAUUACUUCUGAAGAGGGUCCAGAUGAUGAACUGUUUCCAGCUCAAGAAGCUUUAUUGCAUAUUCAGAGUCAGAUCGUAGAUCUUGGCCCCGACAAAGAUAACAUUGUAACUACAAGAUUACUUGUCCCAUCUAGUGAAAUUGGAUGUUUAGAGGGGCGAGAUGGAUUACUGUCUGAAAUGAGGAGAUUAACUGGUGCAAACAUACAUAUCCUUCCCAGAGAAGAACUUCCUGUAUGUGUACCAGGGGCUGAUGAGCUUAUACAGUUACAGAUUGUGGGGGAGAUAAAAGCAGCCCGAGAUGCUCUUGUUGAGGUAACAUCAAGACUUCGGAGUUACAUGUAUCGUGAGAUCUCUUUUUCAAAGGAUUUGUUACCACCUUCCAUCUCAGCAACAGCCCCAGCUGGAAGCGUGUUUGGAUUCGAGGCUGCUUCCCCUGUUAGAAUUCCAAGUCGUGAAAGUUUCCAGGGAAGUGACACUUCUCCAACCUAUCAGAAUGUGCAGACUGUAACAACUGCACGGCCAUCAAAGGAAGCUGGAGUUUCUUGUAGUGGAUCAGUCGACCGAAAUGAAGGUGAUUCUCGUGAAGAUGUGCCAAGUGCACCGAGCAGAAUUGCCGUGCCACUUGUCACUAGAAGCACACUGGAAGUUGUCAUCCCAGAGCAUGCCAUUCCAAAGCUUAUAAUGAGAUCAGGAAACAAACUUGCACAAAUUAGCGAGUUGUCAAAAGCAAGUGUUAGCCUUGUGGAAGAUAGACCGGAGCUGACUGAAAAGGCCAUUCAAAUAUCGGGUACUCCAGAACAGGUUGAGAGAGCCCAGAGCCUACUUCAAGGGUUUAUUCUGAGCACACAAGAAGAUGAUCCAUCAAGCUAAUAUGAGGAGAACAAAAAAGAGGGGGUGGGGGGUUGACAGAACAAGAUGAUGGAAAGUGUAUUCCUUUAGUGAGGUGCUUGCCUUCAGUGUAUUCCUUGAUUACUUGUAUAGAAAGUUCGAGCUUUGGGGCUCAGUGGUUCUACACAUGGUAUCAAAGGCAGGGAAGUCUAAGUGUUAUAUUCCUGAGAACUGCAACGGGGUCCGAUACUUCCUCCUCAGUGCCAUUUGAAGUGUUUUUGCAUGGUGGAUGUCACAUGCAAGGACUUGUGCGUACAGACCUGCACAUGGGGGUGUGUUGGGAUCUAGCUCCUCUGCUGUGCAAUAGAGGCGGCACUACAAAUCCAACACCGUUGAGUGUCUUGGCAUGGAACCCAACAUAUGGGUGCGUUCCUCGAGGCACUCCCAGGUGUUGGAUCUGAGCUGUCACCUUUAAUGUUGCCCCUUGAGCUUUUAGGCUAAGUGGUAAAGCACAAUUUAAGUGUUUUGGGACAAAAGAUAAUACCGUUCAAAGUGUUUUCACUUUCCCAAAUUGUAUGUCCAUUUUAAAUACCAAGUAUUUGUCCCCUAUUUAAUCAUCGACACAUUUAUUCCAUACAUUUU